This 216-nucleotide ribosomal RNA is filed under the name Glomeromycotina sp. RNAcentral's name for it is "partial small subunit ribosomal RNA". The stretch from base 40 to 216 matches the Rfam family "Eukaryotic small subunit ribosomal RNA", at positions 686 to 864 of the family's 1831-position model. The record is from RNAcentral. Lineage: Eukaryota; Fungi; Glomeromycota.
GGGUCAGUAGGUUGGUCGUGCCACCGGUACGUACUGGUCUCACUGAUUCCUCCUUCCUGAAGUACCGUAAUGCCAUUAAUUUGGUGUUGCGGGGAAACUGGACUGUUACUUUGAAAAAAUUAGAGUGUUUAAAGCAAGCUAACGCUUGAAUACAUUAGCAUGGAAUAAUGAAAUAGGACGAUCGAUCCUAUUUUGUUGGUUUCUAGGAUUGACGUA